Molecule: long non-coding RNA, 2717 nt
Organism: Homo sapiens (human)
Lineage: Eukaryota; Metazoa; Chordata; Mammalia; Primates; Hominidae
Exons: 2
Source: RefSeq, a predicted model, not a curated record
AGCCAGCCUGCAAUAGUGACGUUAGCUAUAUUCGAUUAUUCAACUUUCUGGCCAGGCAUUGUACCAGGUGCUUUGAUCCUCAUCACAACCGUAAGGCAGACCCCUCAUACCCCUCAGGAUUCAGGGGACAGAGCUUAACUCCAGAUUGAGUUCUAGACAGUUAUUUCUUCCAUACCCUGAAUGCAGAAGGGAACAUAGCUUGAGUGAUUAUUAUGUCUUAGGCACUGGUCUCAGACCUUUAUAUUUGUAGCUCAUUCUCUUCUCACAAUAACCACACAAGGGACAGAUUGUUUCCCUCUAUGUUACAGACAAAAGAUGUGAGGCUCAGAGACAUUUAAGUGACUUGUCCAAGGUCAAAGAACAGAUUUCUGUAGGAUGUUUGUCUACCUGAGCUGGAAGUAGCAGAUUACUUUAUUCUGAAGACCCUCAUGCUGGCUGAUGCUGGAAGCAAGAAGAAGCCAGGGAGCAUGGGAGCCAUUCAAUGUCAUGCAGGUCAGCACCUGAGGCAGACCCCAGGUGCAGAAGUAUUGAGAGUGGGUCCAGAAGGACAGAUGGAGGACAGGAAGUACAUUCACAACAAGAAGGAAAAACGUCAAUGUUGUGGGGUGGAGAGAGAGGUGCAAAAUCUGGGCUUCUUUUGGCCUUGGACAAUGACAAGCGCAUAGUAGCAACAGAAACUAAGUUUGUAGUUUCCUACUGGGGAGUUUGGGAGGACACUCACUUCUAGUUCUGUCUUCCCCACUUGAAUUUUGAUUGUGGUUAUACUGAAUUUAUAGAAAUUUGGGGUUAACUGACUUGUUUUUAUUACUAAAUCAUACCAUGCAAAAACAGGAUGUUUUCUCAUUUAUUGAAAUCAUUUUGUUUGCUCUUUAUUAUGGUUUUUAAACUUUACUUUUUCAUAGUAGUCCUGAGUAUGCUCAGUUAAUUCUUAGGCAUGUUGUAGCUUUUGCUGCUAUUGUGAUUGGUAUCUUAUUGCAAUUCUACUUUUGAAUCAGUAAUUUCUGAUGUAGAAGAAUGUAUCUAAUUUAAAAAAUUGUGGUUAAAAAAAUAACAUUUACCGUCUUAACCACUUUGAAGUGUACAGCUCAGCAGUGUUAAGUAUAUUCACAUUUUUGUGCAACCAAUCUCCAGAACUCCUUUUCACCUUGCAAAACCAGAACUCUACACCCAUUAAACAACAACUCCUCAUUUCUCUCUUCCUCUAGCCCCUGGCUACUAUCACUCUACAUUCUGUUUCUAUGAAUCUGACUACUUCAGAUACCCUGUACAAGUGCAAUCAUGGAGUUUUUGUCUUUUGGCGAUUGGCUUAUUUCACUUAGCUUAAUGUCCUUAAAAUUCAUACUUGUUGCAGCAUGUAAGAGUGCUUUCUUCCUUUUUAGGCUGAAUAAUAAGCUACUGUAUGUAUAUGCCAUAUUUUGUUUGCCCAUUCAUCUGUCUAUGGACAUCUUUGUUGCUUCCACCUCUUGGCUAUCGAGAAUAGUGCUGCUAUGAAUAUGGGGGAAAAUAUCUGCUUAAGUCCCUGCUUUCAAUUCUUUUGCAUUUAUACCCAGAAGUGGACUCUUGGGUCAUAUAGUAGUUUUACUACUGAUUUUUUGAGGAACUGCCGUACUGUUUCCCAUAGCAGUUACACAUUUUACAAUCCCACGAACAUUGCAUAUAAAGGUUCUAAUGUCUCUACAUCCUCACCAACACUUAUUUCUUCCCUCCCUCUCUCCCUUCCUUCCUUCCUUCCUUCUUUCCUUUCCUCCUUCAUUUGCUCCCUCCUUCAUUCCCUCCCUUCUUUCCUUUUUCCUUUCAUUUUUAUAGUAGCCAUGCUAAUGAGAAUUAGAUGAUGUUAUGGUUUUAAUUUGCACUUCUCUAAUAAUAAGUAAUGCUGAGCAUCUUUUCAUAUGUGUGUUUGCCACUUGUAUAUCAUCUUUGGAAAAAUGUCUGUUGAAGUUUGUUGCCCCCUUUUUAACUGUUUGUAUAAACAAUUAUUGUUGGGUUUUAUGAGUUCUUUACAUAUUCUGAAUAUUAACCCUUUAUUGGAUAUAUGAUAUUCAAAUACUGAUAUAUGAUUUUCAAAUAUUAGAAAUUAAUAAUUUUUGUAAGUUGAUCUUAUAUGGGACAACCUUGCUCGAUCCUCUUAUUGGUUUUAGUGGGGUUUUUGUUGUUGUUGUUGUCAUUGUUGUUAUUGAUAUUCUCUCUGUCUCUCUCUUUUUCCAGGUAGAUAAUAGUAUCAUCUGCGAGCAUUGUUUUGUGUUUUCCCUCUUAAUCCUUAGUGUUUUAUUUUUCAUGUUGUUGACUAGGAUCUUCAAUGCUGUGUCAAACAGUAGGGUGAUAAUGAGCAUUACUCUUAAAGGAAAUAAACCUAAAUAUUCUCCAUUAAGUAUAAAUUUUGCUGUAUAUUGUAGAUUCACAUGCAGUGGUAAGAAAUAAUAAAAACAAUCCUGUGUAUCCUUUACCCAGUUUCCCUUGAUGGUAACAUUUUGCAAAACUAUGGUACAAUAUCACAAUUAGGAUACAUGGAUACAGCCACAAUACAGAACACUUCUAUGAUCACAAGGAUUCUUCACCUUGCCCUUUUCUAGACACACCCACUUCCCUACCAUCCCAUACCCUCCUUAAUGUCUAGCAAUCACUAAUCUCUUAUCCAUUUCUAUGACUUUGUCACUUCAAGACAAAUUUUUUUUUGUCAUUUUAAAACAAAUGAUUAAUAAAUGGAAACAUAUAGUAUA